UACGGAGGGUGCAAGCGUUAAUCGGAAUUACUGGGCGUAAAGCGCACGCAGGUGGCUGAGUCAGUCGAUUGUGAAAGCCCUGGGCUUAACCUGGGAAUUGCAGUCGAUACUACUCAGCUAGAGUAUGGGAGAGGGUAGUGGAAUUCCCGGUGUAGCGGUGAAAUGCGUAGAUAUCGGGAAGAACACCAGUGGCGCAAGCGGCUGACUGGCCGAGACCUGACGCUGAGACACGACGGCGUGGGGAGCAAACCGG
RNAcentral lists this ribosomal RNA (253 nucleotides) under uncultured bacterium. Its description in RNAcentral is "partial 16S ribosomal RNA". It matches the Rfam family "Bacterial small subunit ribosomal RNA", at positions 524 to 776 of the family's 1533-position model. The record is from RNAcentral.